UGGGCUCAGUCCGCAACCGAGCGCAACCCUCACUUUUAGUUGCCAUCAUUAAGUUGGGCACUCUGAAAGAACUGCCAGUGAUAAGCUGGAGGAAGGUGGGGAUGACGUCAAGUCCUCAUGGCCCUUACGUGUUGGGCUACACACGUGCUACAAUGGCAUCUACAACAGGAAGCAAAACGGCAACGUUAAGCAAAUCCCGAAAAGAUGCCUCAGUUCGGAUUGCACUCUGCAACUCGAGUGCAUGAAGCUGGAAUUACUAGUAAUCGUGGAUCAGCGUGCCACGGUGAAUGCGUUCCCGGGUCUUGUACACACCGCCCGUCACACCAUGGGAGUUGGUUCUACCUUAAGGCAAGGCUUUAAACCCUUGACCACGGUAUAGUCAGCGACUGGGGUGAAGUCGUAACAAGGUACC
This 412-nucleotide ribosomal RNA is filed under the name uncultured bacterium. Its description in RNAcentral is "bacterial SSU rRNA". It matches the Rfam family "Bacterial small subunit ribosomal RNA", at positions 1076 to 1500 of the family's 1533-position model. The record is from RNAcentral.